GACGAACGCUGGCGGCGUGGAUUAGGCAUGCAAGUCGAACGGUAGGAUACCUUCGGGUAUCUGAGAGUGGCGAACGGGUGAGUAACACGUAGGUGAUCUACCCUCAAGAUUGGGACAACCCAGGGAAACUUGGGCUAAUACCGGAUGAAAGCAGCAGUGAUGUUGUUUGAAAGGUGGCGUAAGCUGCCGUUUGGGGAUGAGCCUGCGCUCUAUUAGUUAGUUGGCGGGGUAAAGGCCCACCAAGGCGAUGAUAGAUAGGCGGCCUUAACGGGUGGUCGCCCACACUGGGAUUGAGAUACGGCCCAGACUCCUACGGGAGGCAGCAGUCGAGAAUAGUCUACAAUGGCCGAAAGGCUGAUAGUGCGACGCCGCGUGAACGAGAAGCCCUUCGGGUGUAAAGUUCUUUUAUAUGUGAGCAGUGCUUUCUAUGUGAACAGCAUGGGGAGAGAGAUAUUAGCAUAUGAAUAAGCAACGGCUAACUCCGUGCCAGCAC
RNAcentral lists this ribosomal RNA (493 nucleotides) under uncultured bacterium. Its description in RNAcentral is "bacterial SSU rRNA". It matches the Rfam family "Bacterial small subunit ribosomal RNA", at positions 28 to 514 of the family's 1533-position model. The record is from RNAcentral.